Molecule: transfer RNA, 73 nt
Filed under: Echinostoma caproni
Lineage: Eukaryota; Metazoa; Platyhelminthes; Trematoda; Plagiorchiida; Echinostomatidae
Rfam family: tRNA
About the family: Transfer RNA (tRNA) molecules are approximately 80 nucleotides in length. Their secondary structure includes four short double-helical elements and three loops (D, anti-codon, and T loops). Further hydrogen bonds mediate the characteristic L-shaped molecular structure. tRNAs have two regions of fundamental functional importance: the anti-codon, which is responsible for specific mRNA codon recognition, and the 3' end, to which the tRNAs corresponding amino acid is attached (by aminoacyl-tRNA synthetases). tRNAs cope with the degeneracy of the genetic code in two manners: having more than one tRNA (with a specific anti-codon) for a particular amino acid; and 'wobble' base-pairing, i.e. permitting non-standard base-pairing at the 3rd anti-codon position.
Source: Rfam by way of RNAcentral
GGCCUCGUAGCUCAGCUGGUAGAGCAUGCGCGUACAAAGNGUCCAUGCGUGGGUUCGAAUCCCACCGAGGCUA